RNAcentral lists this long non-coding RNA (297 nucleotides) under Malus domestica (apple). RNAcentral's name for it is "long non-coding RNA (MDOM_LNC020464)". The record is from RNAcentral. Lineage: Eukaryota; Viridiplantae; Streptophyta; Magnoliopsida; Rosales; Rosaceae.
GAAGACAUCAAGAAAAGUCUAACCCUUUUGACAUUAUUCACACUACUCCAAACAACAUCAUUUAGCACCACAUGAGCUAAGUAUUUUUGACAGCCUUUUAAAACAAUCUCUUUGCUUUCACAGCAUAAAUAAUGGCUGAACUCACUUCACUUUGCAUACUUACAAAAGUAAUCUCUGGUCAUCCAGAUCGAUGGAAAGUACUGGUUUCCCGUAACAUUCCGUCUUGUCACAAUUAUAACCAACCAAUCUAAUGGAACAGAAUUAACUGAUACAAUAUAUAUUCUAUUAUUAAGCAUU